GAUUAAGCCAUGCAUGUGUAAGUAUAAAUAAUUUUACUUUGAAACUGCGAAUGGCUCAUUAUAUCAGUUAUAGUUUAUUAGAAAUACUUUACUACUUGGAUAACCGUAGUAAUUCUAGGGCUAAUACAUGAMUAAAUCCUCAACUUCGGAAGAGGUGUGUUUAUUAGUAUGAAAACCAUAUAUCUUCGGAUAUAAUAGUGAGUAAUAAUAACCUUUCAUAUCGUAUGUCGUAAGAUAACGAUAGUUCUUUCAAGUUUCUGCCCUAUCAGCUUUCGAUGGUAGUAUAUGGGACUACCAUG
RNAcentral lists this ribosomal RNA (299 nucleotides) under Blastocystis sp. subtype 5. Its description in RNAcentral is "partial small subunit ribosomal RNA". Lineage: Eukaryota; Bigyra; Opalinata; Blastocystidae. The record is from RNAcentral.